RNAcentral lists this ribosomal RNA (620 nucleotides) under Achromobacter insuavis. RNAcentral describes it as "bacterial SSU rRNA". It matches the Rfam family "Bacterial small subunit ribosomal RNA", at positions 77 to 693 of the family's 1533-position model. RNAcentral also lists the same sequence under 1 other name. The record is from RNAcentral. Lineage: Bacteria; Pseudomonadati; Pseudomonadota; Betaproteobacteria; Burkholderiales; Alcaligenaceae.
ACUUCGGUCUGGUGGCGAGUGGCGAACGGGUGAGUAAUGUAUCGGAACGUGCCCAGUAGCGGGGGAUAACUACGCGAAAGCGUAGCUAAUACCGCAUACGCCCUACGGGGGAAAGCAGGGGAUCGCAAGACCUUGCACUAUUGGAGCGGCCGAUAUCGGAUUAGCUAGUUGGUGGGGUAACGGCUCACCAAGGCGACGAUCCGUAGCUGGUUUGAGAGGACGACCAGCCACACUGGGACUGAGACACGGCCCAGACUCCUACGGGAGGCAGCAGUGGGGAAUUUUGGACAAUGGGGGAAACCCUGAUCCAGCCAUCCCGCGUGUGCGAUGAAGGCCUUCGGGUUGUAAAGCACUUUUGGCAGGAAAGAAACGUCAUGGGCUAAUACCCCGUGAAACUGACGGUACCUGCAGAAUAAGCACCGGCUAACUACGUGCCAGCAGCCGCGGUAAUACGUAGGGUGCAAGCGUUAAUCGGAAUUACUGGGCGUAAAGCGUGCGCAGGCGGUUCGGAAAGAAAGAUGUGAAAUCCCAGAGCUUAACUUUGGAACUGCAUUUUUAACUACCGAGCUAGAGUGUGUCAGAGGGAGGUGGAAUUCCGCGUGUAGCAGUGAAAUGCGUAG